UGGGGAAUUUUGGACAAUGGGGGAAACCCUGAUCCAGCCAUCCCGCGUGUGCGAUGAAGGCCUUCGGGUUGUAAAGCACUUUUGGCAGGAAAGAAACGUCAUGGGUUAAUACCCCGUGAAACUGACGGUACCUGCAGAAUAAGCACCGGCUAACUACGUGCCAGCAGCCGCGGUAAUACGGAGGGUGCAAGCGUUAAUCGGAAUUACUGGGCGUAAAGCGUGCGCAGGCGGUUCGGAAAGAAAGAUGUGAAAUCCCAGAGCUAAACUUUGGAACUGCAUUUUUAACUACCGGGCUAGAGUGUGUCAGAGGGAGGUGGAAUUCCGCGUGUAGCAGUGAAAUGCGUAGAUAUGCGGAGGAACACCGAUGGCGAAGGCAGCCUCCUGGGAUAACACUGACGCUCAUGCACGAAAGCGUGGGGAGCAAACAGG
RNAcentral lists this ribosomal RNA (429 nucleotides) under Acidobacteriota bacterium. RNAcentral's name for it is "Acidobacteria bacterium partial 16S ribosomal RNA". It matches the Rfam family "Bacterial small subunit ribosomal RNA", at positions 355 to 776 of the family's 1533-position model. The record is from RNAcentral. Lineage: Bacteria; Pseudomonadati; Acidobacteriota.